This 999-nucleotide ribosomal RNA is filed under the name Staphylococcus aureus. Its description in RNAcentral is "partial 23S ribosomal RNA". It matches the Rfam family "Bacterial large subunit ribosomal RNA", at positions 1926 to 2925 of the family's 2925-position model. Lineage: Bacteria; Bacillati; Bacillota; Bacilli; Caryophanales; Staphylococcaceae. The record is from RNAcentral.
AACGGCGGCCGUAACUAUAACGGUCCUAAGGUAGCGAAAUUCCUUGUCGGGUAAGUUCCGACCCGCACGAAAGGCGUAACGAUUUGGGCACUGUCUCAACGAGAGACUCGGUGAAAUCAUAGUACCUGUGAAGAUGCAGGUUACCCGCGACAGGACGGAAAGACCCCGUGGAGCUUUACUGUAGCCUGAUAUUGAAAUUCGGCACAGCUUGUACAGGAUAGGUAGGAGCCUUUGAAACGUGAGCGCUAGCUUACGUGGAGGCGCUGGUGGGAUACUACCCUAGCUGUGUUGGCUUUCUAACCCGCACCACUUAUCGUGGUGGGAGACAGUGUCAGGCGGGCAGUUUGACUGGGGCGGUCGCCUCCUAAAAGGUAACGGAGGCGCUCAAAGGUUCCCUCAGAAUGGUUGGAAAUCAUUCAUAGAGUGUAAAGGCAUAAGGGAGCUUGACUGCGAGACCUACAAGUCGAGCAGGGUCGAAAGACGGACUUAGUGAUCCGGUGGUUCCGCAUGGAAGGGCCAUCGCUCAACGGAUAAAAGCUACCCCGGGGAUAACAGGCUUAUCUCCCCCAAGAGUUCACAUCGACGGGGAGGUUUGGCACCUCGAUGUCGGCUCAUCGCAUCCUGGGGCUGUAGUCGGUCCCAAGGGUUGGGCUGUUCGCCCAUUAAAGCGGUACGCGAGCUGGGUUCAGAACGUCGUGAGACAGUUCGGUCCCUAUCCGUCGUGGGCGUAGGAAAUUUGAGAGGAGCUGUCCUUAGUACGAGAGGACCGGGAUGGACAUACCUCUGGUGUACCAGUUGUCGUGCCAACGGCAUAGCUGGGUAGCUAUGUGUGGACGGGAUAAGUGCUGAAAGCAUCUAAGCAUGAAGCCCCCCUCAAGAUGAGAUUUCCCAACUUCGGUUAUAAGAUCCCUCAAAGAUGAUGAGGUUAAUAGGUUCGAGGUGGAAGCAUGGUGACAUGUGGAGCUGACGAAUACUAAUCGAUCGAAGACUUAAUCAAAA